CUCCCUCUGCCAACGCAGGUAGCGGAAGCCGGCAGCAGUGCAUCCAUGGAGCGGCAGCUCCGUUCAUAUUCUCUGGAUGAUGCCUCUGUGCCGCGUGCGUGUCUUGUGUGCGUUCUUGCAUGGUAGUAUUGUUGCUCCGCAUCCAUGUUGCGUGUGCUCUGUUUGUAUGAUGCGUGCGCGGUGGCCUCUGCUUGCUUGUGCCUGCUGACUGCAACUGUUGUUACUUACUACUGUAUUUUGUAGUUGUUGACAGGUCGUGAACAUGGUGGUGAGGCACGGAUGCAGCCUCAACGCAAUCAAAUCGCUCCUGAGUGUGGAGAAGCAGUGUCGUCUCACAGUCAAUGUGGCCAGGAUGCACUUGUGUGGAUGGUUUUCAGAUCCCAAUCAUGGUACACGUGCUGCAACAACGUCAUGAUAUUGAAGUGGAAAGUUUGUGCAUGAUUACAACAGGAUAUGUAUUGGUUCUUCACUACAAAGAGAUAAUAUUUGUAGAUGCUCCCAAUAAUUUGAACAUGAUGUUGCCGCUAUAUCUGGGUGUUCAGAGGCAUGACUUAUCUGCAACCUAUACCCCAUCAUCUACUGUGACCUAAAGCCAAAUUUCAAGAAGAGGAAAUGGAGCAACUUGGUCUUCUCUGUUCUCUUGCUGCAUUCUCUGGGAAUCAUAAAUACUUGCAUAUCCGGCCGCAAGCCUUUGUAAGGUUAUGCUCUACUUUACUAUUUGAAUCAUGGUAAGGUGCAAGAAAUAUCUUUUCGGUGAUAAUGGAGGCCGAGUGAUUCUGCUUGGUGAGGUUGUCGUUCCUGAGAAGGUGAAACUGGUGAACCACAAGGCCAUUGUCAACAGCUUCAGUUACUACACUGCGCUUGAGCUGUACAGAAACGAAGUGUUCGACACGAGUACGCAUAAACAUUCGGCUUCAUCAUUUACAAGGUCAGUAUGAGGCUGUUUG
Molecule: long non-coding RNA, 947 nt
Organism: Triticum aestivum (bread wheat)
Lineage: Eukaryota; Viridiplantae; Streptophyta; Magnoliopsida; Poales; Poaceae
Exons: 3
Source: RefSeq, a predicted model, not a curated record